RNAcentral lists this long non-coding RNA (226 nucleotides) under Sorghum bicolor (sorghum). RNAcentral describes it as "long non-coding RNA (SBIC_LNC015492)". Lineage: Eukaryota; Viridiplantae; Streptophyta; Magnoliopsida; Poales; Poaceae. The record is from RNAcentral.
CAUGGCCAACUUGCAGGUGUUCCUAUAUACUCCUACAGUACUACCACUGUGUAAGAAAGGAUUUACUAAAUCAAAUUAUUUUGGUACUAAAAAAAUAUUAAAAAUAUUUAACAUACUGAGCGGCGCUUUUAUAAAUUUUUACAAUAUUUUUCAUACAUUUAAAAUUUAUUUAAGACAUUUUAACUUAGGCGCUGUUUAGAUUGGAGAUGAAAAAUUUUUGGGUGUC